RNAcentral lists this ribosomal RNA (297 nucleotides) under Triticum aestivum (bread wheat). RNAcentral describes it as "partial small subunit ribosomal RNA". The record is from RNAcentral. Lineage: Eukaryota; Viridiplantae; Streptophyta; Magnoliopsida; Poales; Poaceae.
AAUGGCACACUCGGGGAACAAUGUCCGGCUCUAUACAACAUUGUCCGCCAUAAGGAUGAUACUAUCGUCACGGUAAUGAAAUCAUUUCCAUCUAAUGUGACAUUCAGAAGAGAUUUAAUUGGACCCAGACUCCAAUCAUGGAACAUCCUGCUCCAGCGGAUGUUAAUGGUGCAAUUGUCACAUGGGUCUGAUAUAUUCCGAUGGAACCUCCAUGAGAAUGGACAAUUCUCGAUUGAGUCAUUGUAUAGAGCGUUAAUCCAGUCUGAUGUGCCAGUUCAUAAUAAUAAAAAGAUCUAG